This 505-nucleotide ribosomal RNA is filed under the name Escherichia coli. RNAcentral describes it as "partial 23S ribosomal RNA". It matches the Rfam family "Bacterial large subunit ribosomal RNA", at positions 428 to 934 of the family's 2925-position model. The record is from RNAcentral. Lineage: Bacteria; Pseudomonadati; Pseudomonadota; Gammaproteobacteria; Enterobacterales; Enterobacteriaceae.
GGUAUCCUGUCUGAAUAUGGGGGGACCAUCCUCCAAGGCUAAAUACUCCUGACUGACCGAUAGUGAACCAGUACCGUGAGGGAAAGGCGAAAAGAACCCCGGCGAGGGGAGUGAAAAAGAACCUGAAACCGUGUACGUACAAGCAGUGGGAGCACGCUUAGGCGUGUGACUGCGUACCUUUUGUAUAAUGGGUCAGCGACUUAUAUUCUGUAGCAAGGUUAACCGAAUAGGGGAGCCGAAGGGAAACCGAGUCUUAACUGGGCGUUAAGUUGCAGGGUAUAGACCCGAAACCCGGUGAUCUAGCCAUGGGCAGGUUGAAGGUUGGGUAACACUAACUGGAGGACCGAACCGACUAAUGUUGAAAAAUUAGCGGAUGACUUGUGGCUGGGGGUGAAAGGCCAAUCAAACCGGGAGAUAGCUGGUUCUCCCCGAAAGCUAUUUAGGUAGCGCCUCGUGAAUUCAUCUCCGGGGGUAGAGCACUGUUUCGGCAAGGGGGUCAUCCCGA